GACGAACGCUGGCGGCGUGCUUAACACAUGCAAGUCGAACGGAAAGGCCCUGCUUGCCGGGUACUCGAGUGGCGAACGGGUGAGUAACACGUGGGUGAUCUGCCCUGCACUUCGGGAUAAGCCUGGGGAACUGGGUCUAAUACCGGAUAGGAGCCAUUUUUAGUGUGAUGGUUGGAAGGUUUUUUCGGUGUAGGGUGAGCUCGCGGCCUAUCAGCUUGUUGGUGGGGUAAUGGCCUACCAAGGCGGCGGCGGGUAGCCGGCCUGAGAGGGUGGACGGCCACAUUGGGACUGGGAUACGGCCCAGGCCCCUACGGGGGGCAGCCGUGGGGAAUAUUGCACAAAGGGCGCGAGCCUGAUGCAGCGAAGCCGCGUGGGGGAUGACGGCCUUUGGGUUGGAAACUCCUUUCGCUCGGGACGAAGCUUUUUGUGACGGUACCUAGAUAAGAAGCACCGGCUAACUACGUG
This 465-nucleotide ribosomal RNA is filed under the name uncultured bacterium. RNAcentral describes it as "partial 16S ribosomal RNA". It matches the Rfam family "Bacterial small subunit ribosomal RNA", at positions 28 to 507 of the family's 1533-position model. The record is from RNAcentral.